Molecule: long non-coding RNA, 289 nt
Filed under: Solanum tuberosum (potato)
Lineage: Eukaryota; Viridiplantae; Streptophyta; Magnoliopsida; Solanales; Solanaceae
Description: long non-coding RNA (STUB_LNC003525)
Source: RNAcentral
CAAUAUGUUGUAAAGAGGUUAGUUGUGUGUCUUAGCCGAAAGACAGGACACAAGUAUGUUUUGUGCUCAUGAGAUAAUUAUUAAAAAGAGACUAAAAAUGUGAAUCAAGUUAUUUUAAUCUUUAACUAUGUCUGAAACUAUUAUUUUUUCAAAUUUGGUCAUAGUUAAGGUGGUCAUGAAUUUUAUGAUAUCUGAUUGACUUGAAAUUUGAUGGUUCCAACGAAAAUCGUUUAGAUGGUUUUAAAUAGUUUGUCGGAUUAAAAUUUGAUUUGAAUAUGAUAAGAUCAUU